RNAcentral lists this ribosomal RNA (800 nucleotides) under uncultured bacterium. RNAcentral's name for it is "bacterial SSU rRNA". It matches the Rfam family "Bacterial small subunit ribosomal RNA", at positions 8 to 807 of the family's 1533-position model. The record is from RNAcentral.
AGAGUUUGAUCAUGGCUCAGGACGAACGCUGGCGGCGUGCCUAACACAUGCAAGUCGAACGAGAAGUCCGGAACGGAGCCUUCGGGCAAAGGGAAGGACGGACAGUGGCGGACGGGCGAGUAACGCGUGAGUAACCUGCCCGGAAGUGAGGGAUAGCCCUUGGAAACGAGGAGUAAUACCACAUGAGGAUAUUCAGCCGCAUGGAUGGAUAUUGAAAGAUUUAUCGCUUACGGAUGGACUCGCGUCAGAUUAGGUAGUUGGUGAGGUAACGGCUCACCAAGCCGACGAUCUGUAGCCGAACUGAGAGGUUGAUCGGCCGCAUUGGGACUGAGACACGGCCCAGACUCCUACGGGAGGCAGCAGUGGGGAAUAUUGCACAAUGGGGGGAACCCUGACGCAGCAACGCCGCGUGCAGGAAGAAGGUCUUCGGAUUGUAAACUGUUGUCGCAGGGGAAGAAGGAAGUGACGGUACCCUGUGAGAAAGUCACGGCUAACUACGUGCCAGCAGCCGCGGUAAUACGUAGGUGACAAGCGUUGUCCGGAUUUACUGGGUGUAAAGGGCGCGUAGGCGGGAUAGCAAGUCAGGAGUGAAAUACCGAUGCUCGACAUCGGAACUGCUUUUGAAACUGUUAUUCUUGAGUAUCGGAGAGGAAAGCGGAAUUCCCAGUGUAGCGGUGAAAUGCGUAGAUAUUGGGAGGAACACCAGUGGCGAAGGCGGCUUUCUGGACGACAACUGACGCUAUGCGCGAAAGUGUGGGGAGCAAACAGGAUUAGAUACCCUGGUAGUCCACACCGUAACG